GUGGCAGCCGCCGCGGUAAUACGUAGGGUGCGAGCGUUAAUCGGAAUUACUGGGCGUAAAGCGCGCGUAGGCGGGUUUUUAAGUCUGAUGUGAAAGCCCACGGCUCAACCGUGGAGGGUCAUUGGAAACUGGAAAACUUGAGUGCAGAAGAGGAAAGUGGAAUUCCAUGUGUAGCGGUGAAAUGCGCAGAGAUAUGGAGGAACACCAGUGGCGAAGGCGACUUUCUGGUCUGUAACUGACGCUGAUGUGCGAAAGCGUGGGGAUAAAACAGGAUUAGAUACCCUGGUAGUCCACGUCGUAA
RNAcentral lists this ribosomal RNA (301 nucleotides) under uncultured bacterium. Its description in RNAcentral is "bacterial SSU rRNA". It matches the Rfam family "Bacterial small subunit ribosomal RNA", at positions 505 to 805 of the family's 1533-position model. The record is from RNAcentral.